AUUGAACGCUGGCGGCAUGCCUUACACAUGCAAGUCGAACGGCAGCACGGGAGCAAUCCUGGUGGCGAGUGGCGAACGGGUGAGUAAAGUAUCGGAACGUGCCCAGUCGUGGGGGAUAACGUAGCGAAAGUUACGCUAAUACCGCAUACGAUCUAUGGAUGAAAGCGGGGGAUCGCAAGACCUCGCGCGAUUGGAGCGGCCGAUAUCAGAUUAGGUAGUUGGUGGGGUAAAGGCUCACCAAGCCGACGAUCUGUAGCUGGUCUGAGAGGACGACCAGCCACACUGGGACCGGGACACGGGCCAGACUCCUACGGGAGGAAGCAGUUGGGAAUUUUGGACAAGGGGCGCAAGCCUGAUCCAGCCAUGCCGCGUGCAGGAUGAAGGCUUUCGGGUUGUAAACUGCUUUUGUACGGAACGAAAAGGUUUGACUUAAUACGUUGGACUCAUGACGGUACCGUAAGAAUAAGCACCGGCUAACUACGUGCCAGCAGCCGCGGUAA
This 500-nucleotide ribosomal RNA is filed under the name uncultured bacterium. RNAcentral describes it as "partial 16S ribosomal RNA". It matches the Rfam family "Bacterial small subunit ribosomal RNA", at positions 30 to 523 of the family's 1533-position model. The record is from RNAcentral.